Myotis lucifugus (little brown bat) is the source of this 2179-nucleotide long non-coding RNA. RefSeq lists it as uncharacterized. The record is from RefSeq and is a predicted model, not a curated record. The transcript is spliced from 3 exons. Lineage: Eukaryota; Metazoa; Chordata; Mammalia; Chiroptera; Vespertilionidae.
GGGCGUGUUGAGCAGCUGGGACGCGGUCGCGGGCCCGAAGCCGGGCGACGUGGUGCCGGGUGUUGGGCUGUUUUAUCGGCACUUACAGCUGUGGGAGGGGCCCAGAACCCAGCAUUUGGAGCUGAAGGAGCCGGGGACAGUAGCUAGUCUCCAGCCCACAUGUUAUGGACGAAGAAACGCAGCCCACAGAGCUGAAGUGACUUUGUCCGAGGUCGCCCAGGUAGGAGACAGCACAGCCAGGCUCCGUCCUGGCCUCGAGUCCUGCUGCCCAGCCCGUGGGCCAGCUCCGCCCUUGGGCCGUUGGAUGGAAGGCUCCUGUCUGCUGACUUCUCCAGUAUUCCCCGGUGGAGGGGUGCACUGUGGUCGGGGGCUCACUGCAGGCGGGCAGCCUGGGAGCGCCCACCGGAACAACUGCGGAGCCAACUUCACCCCAAGUUGACUCCCUGGGCUGCCAAGUCUGCGUGCUGCCGGCACGGAUGCCCCUGCUGUGUGCACAGCUCCUUCUGCAGACACCUGUGCGCACAGCUCCUUCUGCAGACACCUAGACACCUGAGCCUGCAGGGCCUUCAGCCAAGACCUUUGGCAGGAAUUAGGCUCUGGAGAAGCGGCUGCAGGCAGCUUUCGGUUUCCAGAACAACAAACACAGUCUCCUGCACGGCACACCCCUGCCCCCACCCGUCGGCCCCCCUGCACCGUCCUGCGCUCCCGCGGAGAACGGAGCGCUGGUUGCUAUGUGGGUGACAGGAUUUGACACCAGUGGUGGGAGAGUCACCCACCCCCACCUGCCCGACAAAUUCCAAGAAGUAGCAUUUCAGGAUCAAAAGGUAUGAAUUUUUAAAGCUUUUGAAAAGUUUUACUGCCUCCAGGAAGGCGGGUCCGGCCCUGGCCCGGGUGGCUCAGUUGGCUGAACGCCAUUCCAUGCACCGCGGUCACGGGUUCAAUGCCCUGUCAGGCGCUAUCCCCAGGAGGGGGCGUGCAGGAAGUGGCCUGUCCGUGUUUCUCUCCCUCUCCCUUCCUCUCCCUCUAAAAUCAAUAAAAACAUUUUUUUUAAAAAGAAAGAAAGGUGGGUCCAGUGCGUAGUAGGGGUGUUGGAGCCCCGGUUUCCCACACCCUCCUCCACGGUGGGCAUGGCUUGGGGACCGUCCCAGCCCUUGGGCUCUCUUCUCGCCCUGCAGCUUUCCUGGUCUGAGAGCUGCUCCUCUGCCUGCCCUGCUCUGACCAGACGCAGGGUGUUCCAGAGAAAGGGCUGUUCCUUCUGCCACACCCCCAUUAUCAGGCACGGAGCACGAGCAGUGGGGGUGCCAGGGGGGGUGGGUGAGGCAGAGGGAGGAGAGGUCAGAGGUGAGGGAGGAGAGGGGGGAGGGAAGGUGGACUGUGACCGACACUUGCAGUUCUGAGCUGGGCCCAGGAUGGGUGUCUGAUUCCCGGGCAGGGCAGCCCCAGAGAAGGUCUGACACCAGCCUGGGAACCACGCUGGGCUCCCUCAGGGUGCGGACCCCUGGCCCUUGGUCAGGAUGAGCCCGGGAUCUGCAUCUCAAAUGAGCAGCCUGGCAGCCAGUUUAAGAGCUGGGACCAGGUCCGGGGUAACGUUGAACCCAUCACUUUUCAGGUGCAGGGCCUCCCGACCGCUCCUCCAGGCCCUGAUAGCACAGGCCCCAGAGGCCUGGGAAGAGCGGGGAGGGAGGUUGUGACUACAUUUCUCCACACCCCAGACCAAACGGGGCGCUGGGAACAGAGCGUUCGAGCCCCCGGAGUUGCCCAUCCCGUCUGGGCCACGUGGUUUUGAGAAAAUCCAGCCGUGUCUGUGUUUCAGGCCCCCUCGGGGGUAGAAAGAAUUCACCGAGGCCAGAGGGCAGCGAGGAGCGGUGGGUCCAGGCAGGUGUGUGUUUAGGUUUUCCCCCAAAGACUGAGCCUCAGAGAGGACUUUGAGUUCCGGACCUCGCUUAGGUGAAGGAAGUCAAGCUAAGACUCACCCAGCUCUCGCCGUGUGUCGGGGCUACAAAGUGUGUCCCCCACCUUGGGCCUUGACUAGACUCUGCUGGUCCAGGAGCUGCCACCAGAGAGCAGAUCCUAGUUCUAGGUCAGUGGUUGGCAAACUGCGGCUCAGCAAACCGUGGCUCUCGAGCCACGUGCGACUCUUUGGCAGGAGUUCUAUGUAAGCGGCGCAAGGCGGCGAGGU